UCCGGAGGAGGCAAGCGUUAUCCGGAAUUAUUGGGCGUAAAGCGUCCGUAGGUGGCCAUUCAAGUCUGCUGUCAAAGCAUGGAGCUUAACUCCAUAGAGGCAGUGGAAACUGAAUAGCUAGAGUUCGGUAGGGGUAGCGGGAAUUCCCAGUGUAGCGGUGAAAUGCGUAGAGAUUGGGAAGAACAUCGGUGGCGAAAGCGCGCUACUGGGCCGAAACUGACACUGAGGGACGAAAGCUAGGGGAGAGAAAGGG
RNAcentral lists this ribosomal RNA (253 nucleotides) under uncultured bacterium. RNAcentral describes it as "partial 16S ribosomal RNA". It matches the Rfam family "Bacterial small subunit ribosomal RNA", at positions 524 to 776 of the family's 1533-position model. The record is from RNAcentral.